GUGGGGAAUAUUGGACAAUGGGCGAAAGCCUGAUCCAGCAAUGCCGCGUGAGUGAUGAAGGCCUUAGGGUUGUAAAGCUCUUUUACCCGGGAUGAUAAUGACAGUACCGGGAGAAUAAGCUCCGGCUAACUCCGUGCCAGCAGCCGCGGUAAUACGGAGGGAGCUAGCGUUGUUCGGAAUUACUGGGCGUAAAGCGCGCGUAGGCGGCGAUUUAAGUCAGAGGUGAAAGCCCGGGGCUCAACCCCGGAAUAGCCUUUGAGACUGGAUUGCUUGAACAUCGGAGAGGUGAGUGGAAUUCCGAGUGUAGAGGUGAAAUUCGUAGAUAUUCGGAAGAACACCAGUGGCGAAGGCGGCUCACUGGACGAUUGUUGACGCUGAGGUGCGAAAGCGUGGGGAGCAAACAGGAUUAGAUACCCCGGUAGUCC
This 425-nucleotide ribosomal RNA is filed under the name uncultured bacterium. RNAcentral describes it as "partial 16S ribosomal RNA". It matches the Rfam family "Bacterial small subunit ribosomal RNA", at positions 354 to 796 of the family's 1533-position model. The record is from RNAcentral.